RNAcentral lists this ribosomal RNA (633 nucleotides) under Triticum aestivum (bread wheat). RNAcentral's name for it is "partial small subunit ribosomal RNA". The record is from RNAcentral. Lineage: Eukaryota; Viridiplantae; Streptophyta; Magnoliopsida; Poales; Poaceae.
AUGAUGUCUGUGGUCAGCUUGGUGUAUGCCAGUAGUCCUCGCGGUAGCGGUUUUAUUGUUUACGCCAGCCCAGAAGCGUUUCUAGCCAUGACAUGCGAGCACGUCGUUCGUGGGUGUAGGGAACUCCAAAUCUUUUUCCCCGGCGAAACUAAAGCAUACAAAGCUAGAGUCCUGAGGCACGACCCAACAAUAGACCUUGCUUUAAUUUCCUUUCUCCCCGACGGCGAUUGCCUUCAACGUCGUGUCCCACUGAGGUUUGCGGACCUAAAUGCUCCACUAAAUUGUGGGGCAGUUCGGAUGAUAGGAUACCAUCAGGUUCCACAAGGCCGCCUUCUGAGCCCAGGAGUGUUCGACGGCAACCUCACGGUCCAAGAGGCCGACCAGACAGACGAUCCUGAAAUGAAAUUGAGGAGCAUCCAGUUUCUUAAUUGUAAUUACGCGUCCGAGCCUGGCACGUCAGGAGGCCCUAUUCUCAAGGGGAAUAGGGUUGUUGGGGUAAACUCUGAUUCUUUUGGAGGACACAAGUUUUCCAUCUCUGUCAUAGGUGUAUGCAACACACUGCGGAGGUGGCUUAACAUGGAAAAUAGCGGUGUUGGAAUCGAUGACAUGCUAGCAAUGCUUGCUCGGGAAUGA